This 73-nucleotide transfer RNA is filed under the name Gelidiella flabella. RNAcentral's name for it is "tRNA-Gly". It matches the Rfam family "tRNA". From Rfam's summary of the family: Transfer RNA (tRNA) molecules are approximately 80 nucleotides in length. Their secondary structure includes four short double-helical elements and three loops (D, anti-codon, and T loops). Lineage: Eukaryota; Rhodophyta; Florideophyceae; Gelidiales; Gelidiellaceae. The record is from RNAcentral.
GCGGGUAUAGAAAAACGGUAACUUCGUUAGUUUUCCAAACUAAAAUUUACGGGUUCGAAUCCCGUUAUCCGCU